GAUGAACGCUGGCGGCGUGCUUAACACAUGCAAGUCGAACGGAAAGGCUCCUGCUUGCAGGGGUACUCGAGUGGCGAACGGGUGAGUAACACGUGGGUGAUCUGCCCUGCACUUCGGGAUAAGCCUGGGAAACUGGGUCUAAUACCGGAUAGGACCACAUUUUGGAUGGUGUGGUGGAAAGUUUUUCGGUGUGGGAUGAGCUCGCGGCCUAUCAGCUUGUUGGUGGGGUAAUGGCCUACAAAGGCGUCGACGGGUAGCCGGCCUGGGAGGGUGUACGGCCACAUUGGGACGGAGAUACGGCCCAGACUCAUACGGGAGGCAGCAGUGGGGAAAAUUGAACAAUGGGCGCAAGCCUGAUGCAGAGACGCCGGGUGGGGGAUGACGGCCUUCGGGUUGUAAACUCCUUUGCUAGGGACGAAGCGCAAGUGACGGUACCUGGAGAAGAAGCACCGGCUAACUACGUG
This 464-nucleotide ribosomal RNA is filed under the name uncultured bacterium. RNAcentral describes it as "partial 16S ribosomal RNA". It matches the Rfam family "Bacterial small subunit ribosomal RNA", at positions 28 to 507 of the family's 1533-position model. The record is from RNAcentral.